This 497-nucleotide ribosomal RNA is filed under the name uncultured bacterium. Its description in RNAcentral is "partial 16S ribosomal RNA". It matches the Rfam family "Bacterial small subunit ribosomal RNA", at positions 28 to 507 of the family's 1533-position model. The record is from RNAcentral.
GAUGAACGCUGGCGGCGUGCCUAAUACAUGCAAGUCGAGCGAACGGACGAGAAGCUUGCUUCUCUGAUGUUAGCGGCGGACGGGUGAGUAACACGUGGAUAACCUACCUAUAAGACUGGGAUAACUUCGGGAAACCGGAGCUAAUACCGGAUAAUAUUUUGAACCGCAUGGUUCAAAAGUGAAAGACGGUCGUGCUGUCACUAAUAGCUGGAUCCGCGCUGCAUUAGCUAGUUGGUAAGGUAACGGCUUACCAAGGCAACGAUGCAUAGCCGACCUGAGAGGGUGAUCGGCCACACUGGAACUGAGACACGGUCCAGACUCCUACGGGAGGCAGCAGUAGGGAAUCUUCCGCAAUGGGCGAAAGCCUGACGGAGCAACGCCGCGUGAGUGAUGAAGGUCUUCGGAUCGUAAAACUCUGUUAUUAGGGAAGAACAUAUGUGUAAGUAACUGUGCACAUCUUGACGGUACCUAAUCAGAAAGCCACGGCUAACUACGUG